GUGAGGAAUAUUGGUCAAUGGGCGAGAGCCUGAACCAGCCAAGUAGCGUGAAGGAUGACUGCCCUAUGGGUUGUAAACUUCUUUUAGAAGGGAAUAAAGUGGAGUAUGUAUACUCCUUUGUAUGUACCUUCUGAAUAAGGAUCGGCUAACUCCGUGCCAGCAGCCGCGGUAAUACGGAGGAUCCGAGCGUUAUCCGGAUUUAUUGGGUUUAAAGGGAGCGUAGGCGGAUGUUUAAGUCAGUUGUGAAAGUUUAAGGCUCAACCUUGAAAUUGCAGUUGAUACUGGAUGUCUUGAGUGCAUUGAAUGUGAGCGGAAUUCGUGGUGUAGCGGUGAAAUGCUUAGAUAUCACGAAGAACUCCGAUUGCGAAGGCAGCUCACAGUGAUGUAACUGACGCUGAUGCUCGAAAGUGUGGGUAUCAAACAGGAUUAGAAACCCUAGUAGUCC
Molecule: ribosomal RNA, 445 nt
Filed under: uncultured bacterium
Lineage: Bacteria
Description: partial 16S ribosomal RNA
Rfam family: Bacterial small subunit ribosomal RNA
Source: RNAcentral